Pecten maximus is the source of this 274-nucleotide long non-coding RNA. RefSeq lists it as uncharacterized. Lineage: Eukaryota; Metazoa; Mollusca; Bivalvia; Pectinida; Pectinidae. The transcript is spliced from 3 exons. The record is from RefSeq and is a predicted model, not a curated record.
ACUUCCGUCUCGCACUGUAUAAAUAGAAGUUGUAUCCAUUCAUUCACCGCACCACGUCUCCAGUUACUCACCCUUUGUCUUCUCGUCCAGUCCGAAGAAACCCCACAAUGAACACCUACAUCUGUCUGGCUUCAUGCCUUUUGGUGGCCGUAAGCGCUGCAGGUUAUGGAAGUGGAUCCGGAAAUGGAUUUGGUAAUGGCGGCGGAAAUGGAUUCGGAAACGGAAACGGUUACGGAAACGGCAAUGGCGCCGGAAAUGGAGGAUCUGGAUUUGG